This 68-nucleotide transfer RNA is filed under the name Marmota monax (woodchuck). RNAcentral describes it as "tRNA.Met". The record is from RNAcentral. Lineage: Eukaryota; Metazoa; Chordata; Mammalia; Rodentia; Sciuridae.
GGACAGUAGCUCAAUGGUAGAGCACUUGCCUCAUACACUUGAGGCACUGGGUUCUAUCCUCAGCACCA